GCCGGGGUACCCAAGCCAGGACCAAGGGGCAGGCCUUGAGAGCCUGUGGCCCCAUCCGGCGGGCCGCGCGGGUUCAAAUCCCGCCCCCGGCG
RNAcentral lists this transfer RNA (92 nucleotides) under Candidatus Caldarchaeales archaeon. RNAcentral's name for it is "tRNA-Ser". It matches the Rfam family "tRNA". Rfam says of the family: Transfer RNA (tRNA) molecules are approximately 80 nucleotides in length. Their secondary structure includes four short double-helical elements and three loops (D, anti-codon, and T loops). Lineage: Archaea; Thermoproteati; Nitrososphaerota; Candidatus Caldarchaeales. The record is from RNAcentral.